Molecule: ribosomal RNA, 452 nt
Filed under: uncultured Spirochaetaceae bacterium
Lineage: Bacteria; Pseudomonadati; Spirochaetota; Spirochaetia; Spirochaetales; Spirochaetaceae
Description: bacterial SSU rRNA
Rfam family: Bacterial small subunit ribosomal RNA
Source: RNAcentral
GGAGCAUGUGGUUUAAUUCGAUGAUACGCGAGGAACCUUUACCAGGGCUUGACAUACAGAGGGAUGAGCAAGAGAUUGUUCAGCCUGGCAACAGGCCUCUGUACAGGGUGCUGCAUGGCUGUCGUCAGCUCGUGCUGUGAAGUGUUGGGUUAAGUCCCGCAACGAGCGCAACCCCUACUUUUAGUUACCAACAGGUAAAGCUGGGGACUCUAGAAGGACUGCCGGUGACAAACCGGAGGAAGUGGGGACGACGUCAAGUCAUCAUGGCCUUUAUGUCCUGGGCUACACACGUGCUACAAUGGUCGGUACAGAGCGAAGCGAAGCCGAGAGGUGGAGCGAAACGCAGAAAGCCGAUCUUAAGUACGGAUUGAAGUCUGAAACUCGACUUCAUGAAGUUGGAAUCGCUAGUAAUCGCGCAUCAGCAUGGCGCGGUGAAUACGUUCCCGGGCCUU